GGACGAACGCUGGCGGCGUGCUUAACACAUGCAAGUCGAACGGGAGUAUUGAAGAAGCUUGCUUUAGAGAUACUUUAGUGGCGGACGGGCGAGUAACGCGUGAGGAGCUGUCCAAUGCAGGGGGACAACAGUUGGAAACGACUGCUAAUACCCCAUAAGCCGAGAGGUAAAAGGAUUUAUCCGGCAAUGGAGGUACUCGCGUCCUAUCAGCUAGUAGGUGAGGUAACGGCUCACCUAGGCGAAGACGGGUAGCCGGCCUGAGAGGGCGAACGGCCACACUGGAACUGAGAUACGGUCCAGACUCCUACGGGAGGCAGCAGUGGGGAAUAUUGGGCAAUGGGCGAAAGCCUGAACUAGCAACGCCGCGUGUGCGAAGAAGGCCUUCGGGUCGUAAAGCACUUUUUGAGAGGAUGAGGAAGGACGGUACUCUCAGAAUAAGUCUCGGCUAACUACGUGCCAGCAGCCGCGGUAACACGUAGGAGGCAAACGUUAUCCGGAUUUACUGGGCGUAAAGCGCGUGUAGGUGGUUUGGUAAGUAGGGCGUGAAAGCUCCUGGCUCAACUGGGAGAGGACGUUCUAAACUACCAAGCUUGAGGAUGGUAGAGGGAGGUGGAAUUCCGGGUGUAGCGGUGGAAUGCGCAGAUAUCCGGAGGAACACCAGUGGCGAAGGCGGCCUCCUGGACCACUCCUGACACUCAGACGCGAAAGCUAGGGUAGCAAACGGGAUUAGAGACCCCGGUAGUCCUAGCCCUAAACGAUGUAGACUUGGCGUCGGUGGUUUAAUCGCCAUCGGUGUCGUAGCUAACGCGAUAAGUCUACCGCCUGGGGACUACGGCCGCAAGGUUAAAACUCAAAGGAAUUGACGGGUCCCCGCACAAGCAGCGGAGCGUGUGGUUUAAUUCGAUGCUACACGAAGAACCUUACCUGGGUUUGACAUAGAGGUAGUAGGGAAGCGAAAGCGGACCGACCCUUCGGGGAGCCUCUACAGGUGUUGCAUGGCUGUCGUCAGCUCGUGUCGUGAGAUGUUCGGUUAAGUCCGCUAACGAGCGCAACCCUCGCUGUGUGUUACAAGUGUCACACGGUACUGCCGAUAUUAAGUCGGAGGAAGGUGGGGAUGACGUCAAGUCAGCAUGACCUUUAUAUCCAGGGCUACACACACGCUACAAUGGCCAGUACAAUGGGUUGCCAAGCCGCGAGGCGGAGCCAAUCCUAAAAAGCUGGCCUCAGUUCAGAUUGCAGUCUGCAACUCGACUGCAUGAAGUUGGAGUUGCUAGUAACCGCAGGUCAGCAAUACUGCGGUGAAUACGUUCCCGGGGAU
Molecule: ribosomal RNA, 1318 nt
Filed under: uncultured bacterium
Lineage: Bacteria
Description: bacterial SSU rRNA
Rfam family: Bacterial small subunit ribosomal RNA
Source: RNAcentral